RNAcentral lists this ribosomal RNA (497 nucleotides) under uncultured bacterium. Its description in RNAcentral is "partial 16S ribosomal RNA". It matches the Rfam family "Bacterial small subunit ribosomal RNA", at positions 28 to 507 of the family's 1533-position model. The record is from RNAcentral.
GACGAACGCUGGCGGCGUGCCUAAUACAUGCAAGUAGAACGCUGAAGCGAGGAGCUUGCUCUUCUUGGAUGAGUUGCGAACGGGUGAGUAACGCGUAGGUAACCUGCCUGGUAGCGGGGGAUAACUAUUGGAAACGAUAGCUAAUACCGCAUAAAAUUGAUUAUUGCAUGAUAAUUAAUUGAAAGAUGCAGCUGCAUCACUACCAGAUGGACCUGCGUUGUAUUAGCUAGUUGGUGAGGUAACGGCUCACCAAGGCGACGAUACAUGGCCGACCUGAGAGGGUGAUCGGCCACACUGGGACUGAGACACGGCCCAGACUCCUACGGGAGGCAGCAGUAGGGAAUCUUCGGCAAUGGGGGGAACCCUGACCGAGCAACGCCGCGUGAGUGAAGAAGGUUUUCGGAUCGUAAAGCUCUGUUGUAAGAGAAGAACGGGUGUGAGAGUGGAAAGUUCACACUGUGACGGUAUCUUACCAGAAAGGGACGGCUAACUACGUG